UACAGAGGGUGCGAGCGUUGUCCGGAAUCACUGGGCGUAAAGGGCGCGUAGGUGGCUUGGUAAGCGUGUGGUGAAAGCCUGGGGCUCAACCCCAGGUCUGCCGUGCGAACUGCCAAGCUUGAGCAUAGUAGAGGCAGGUGGAAUUUCGGGUGUAGCGGUGGAAUGCGUAGAUAUCCGAAAGAACACCGGUGGCGAAGGCGGCCUGCUGGGCUAUUGCUGACACUGAGGCGCGACAGCGUGGGGAGCAAACAGG
This 253-nucleotide ribosomal RNA is filed under the name uncultured bacterium. RNAcentral's name for it is "partial 16S ribosomal RNA". It matches the Rfam family "Bacterial small subunit ribosomal RNA", at positions 524 to 776 of the family's 1533-position model. The record is from RNAcentral.